Psammomys obesus (fat sand rat) is the source of this 207-nucleotide small nucleolar RNA. RefSeq annotates it as small nucleolar RNA U3. The record is from RefSeq and is a predicted model, not a curated record. The transcript has a single exon. Lineage: Eukaryota; Metazoa; Chordata; Mammalia; Rodentia; Muridae.
AAGACUAUACUUGCAGGGAUCAAAUACAGGUCUGUAAGACAGAAGUCACUAUGACUAUGUAGAGCACCCGGGACCAGGGGGAAGGAAUUCCCUCCUGAGUGUGAGUCUGGCUCUUGGCAUUGCUUUUCCGUAGCUGCCUCUUGCCACUGGUGAUCAAUUUUCUCUUUCUUUGGGAGAGGAAGAAAGAGGGAAUGCAGUCUGAGUGGG